Molecule: ribosomal RNA, 200 nt
Filed under: uncultured bacterium
Lineage: Bacteria
Description: partial 16S ribosomal RNA
Rfam family: Bacterial small subunit ribosomal RNA
Source: RNAcentral
AGAGUUUGAUCCUGGCUCAGGAUGAAUGCUGGCUGUAUGGAUAAGGCAUGCAAGUCGAACGGACCGCAAGGUCAGUGGCAGACGAGGUAGUAACACGUACGAACGUACCUGUAGUCUGGGAUAGCUCGUCGAAAGACGGGGUAAUACCGGAUGGUCUCGCAAGAGUAAAGUUUUUCGCUACAGGAGCGGCGUGCGUAGUA